This 424-nucleotide ribosomal RNA is filed under the name uncultured bacterium. RNAcentral's name for it is "partial 16S ribosomal RNA". It matches the Rfam family "Bacterial small subunit ribosomal RNA", at positions 360 to 776 of the family's 1533-position model. The record is from RNAcentral.
AACAUUGGACAAUGGGCGAAAGCCUGACCCAGCCAUGCCGCGCGUGUGAAGAACGUCUCUGGAUUGUAAAGCACUUUAAGUUGGGAGGAAGGGUUGUCGGUUAAUACCCUGCAAUUUUGACGUUACCAACAGAAUAAGCACCGGCUAACUUCUUGCAAGCAGCCGCGGUAAUACGAAGGGUGCAAGCGUUAAUCGGAAUUACUGGGCGUAAAGCGCGCGUAGGUGGUUCGUUAAGUUGGAAGUGAAAGCCCCGGGCUUAACCUGGGAAUUGCUUUCAAAACUGACGAGCUAGAGUACGGUAGAGGGUAGUGGAAUUUCCUGUGUAGCGGUGAAAUGCGUAGGUAUAGGAAAGAACAUCAGUGGCGAAGGCGACUACCUGGACUGAUACUGACACUGAGGUGCGAAAGCGUGGGGAGCAAACAGG